GAGGUUGUGGCUCAGUGGCAGAGCACUUGCCUAGCAUGUGUGAGGCUCUGGGUUCAAUCCUCAGCACCACA
Molecule: transfer RNA, 71 nt
Filed under: Marmota monax (woodchuck)
Lineage: Eukaryota; Metazoa; Chordata; Mammalia; Rodentia; Sciuridae
Description: tRNA.Ala
Rfam family: tRNA
About the family: Transfer RNA (tRNA) molecules are approximately 80 nucleotides in length. Their secondary structure includes four short double-helical elements and three loops (D, anti-codon, and T loops). Further hydrogen bonds mediate the characteristic L-shaped molecular structure. tRNAs have two regions of fundamental functional importance: the anti-codon, which is responsible for specific mRNA codon recognition, and the 3' end, to which the tRNAs corresponding amino acid is attached (by aminoacyl-tRNA synthetases). tRNAs cope with the degeneracy of the genetic code in two manners: having more than one tRNA (with a specific anti-codon) for a particular amino acid; and 'wobble' base-pairing, i.e. permitting non-standard base-pairing at the 3rd anti-codon position.
Source: RNAcentral